UUCUAAUCUUUCCCUACCUCUGUUGGUUCAAAUCAUCUCUCAGUUUAUUAAUCCUUGGAAAGAAUUACAUAGCGGUUAUUCACAGCUUGUAAAUUACAAUAGAAAGGUUCCUUUCAAAUGGUAGAGUUGCACUAAAGAGGAAAUUGGGUUUAUAAGAAAAUGGAGGCAAAGAACUUAAGUUUUAAGAAAAAGCACUUCAAAACAGAAGGGCAAAUGGAAAAGGGGGAUAUAAAACAAACCAAUAAAAAUACCAUCUGAGGGUGUUACUGUCCAAAAUUAAAGAAUAAGAUGCAUCACUAAGCCCUUUGCACUCGUGUUGACCUCGUAAGUAAAAAUUAUUACUUAGAAUAAUAAUAAGUGGUGCACACUACAUUCCCUGUCCCUCUUCUAGACUUUUUUUUUGUAGAAGAAUCAGAAAACAAUUUACUAACCUCCCUGUUUGAUAUUAAAAACUCAAUAGGAAGGUUUUUAAUAUUUUCUGUCAGUACAAGUUGAACUUGAUUGUGUCAACUGAAACCCUAGAGGUUUGUGUAUCAGUAGAAUGCAAGAACAUUGUUAAAGUUGCUUACAAUCUUUUUUGUUUUCCUUUCCAUUCCAUUGUAUCAAUUUUUUGAGUAACUUUCAAAUGGCUAGAAAAUGGUCUUUUUGCUUUGCCCUUUUAUAGCUGAAAUAACCAGCUCCAUUCUUUUCAUGAGUAGUAAGUUGAUAUAUUUAUUUAUCAGGUAUCUUUCAGUUGUCACUAAAUACUGUAGUUUUCUUGUGUUGUAUGGAAAUUAUAGUUCAAUUAUUCUAAUGUGAUGGAGUGCAACGAGUCAUUGUAGAACUUUUCACCUGUUAAUGUUGAAGUUAUACCUCUGAACUUCUGCUGUGGAUAUCAAGGAAAUAAUAAAGCGAAAACCCUAAGACAUUUGAAAAAAAAAAAACCCAGCCUGGGAAACAUGAUGAAAACCCAUCUCUACAAAAAAUACAAAAAUUAGCCGGGCAUGGUGGCACACACCUGUAUUUCCAGCUACUUGGGAGGCUGAGGCGGGAGAAUCACUUAAGCCCAGGAAGUGGAGGUUGCGGUGAACUGAGAUUAUGCCACUGCACUCCAACGUGGGUGACAGAGCAAGAUCCUGUCUGAAAAAAAAAAUCAAUGAAUCAAAGAAUGGUGACCCUAGUAAAUACCUGAUA
RNAcentral lists this long non-coding RNA (1173 nucleotides) under Homo sapiens (human). RNAcentral's name for it is "non-protein coding lnc-LINC02210-CRHR1-1:1". Lineage: Eukaryota; Metazoa; Chordata; Mammalia; Primates; Hominidae. The record is from RNAcentral.